This 103-nucleotide microRNA precursor is filed under the name Marmota monax (woodchuck). Lineage: Eukaryota; Metazoa; Chordata; Mammalia; Rodentia; Sciuridae. The record is from RNAcentral.
AGUGAGAUAGCUUGGUCAAAUGGUAGGUCCAUUCCAAGUUCUCUAAGAAAUUUCCAGACCACUUUUCAGAGUGGUUGUACCAAUUUGCAGUCCCACCAGCAAU